This 568-nucleotide ribosomal RNA is filed under the name uncultured bacterium. RNAcentral's name for it is "partial 16S ribosomal RNA". It matches the Rfam family "Bacterial small subunit ribosomal RNA", at positions 355 to 1375 of the family's 1533-position model. The record is from RNAcentral.
UGGGGAAUAUUGCACAAUGGGCGAAAGCCUGAUGCAGCAACGCCGCGUGAGGGACGACGGCCUUCGGGUUGUAAACCUCUUUUAGCAAGGAAGAAGCGAAAGUGACGGUACUUGCAGAAAAAGCGCCGGCUAACUACGUGCCAGCAGCCGCGGUAAUACGUAGGGCGCAAGCGUUAUCCGGAAUUAUUGGGCGUAAAGAGCUCGUAGGCGGUUUGUCGCGUCUGCUGUGAAAACCCGAGGCUCAACCUCGGGCCUGCAGUGGGUACGGGCAGACUAGAGUGCGGUAGGGGAGAUUGGAACUCCUGGUGUAGCGGUGGAAUGCGCAGAUAUCAGGAAGAACACCGAUGGCGAAGGCAGAUCUCUGGGCCGUAACUGACGCUGAGGAGCGAAAGGGUGGGGAGCAAACAGGCUUAGAUACCCUGGUAGUCCACCCGUAAACGUUGGGAACUAGUUGUGGGGUCCAUUCCACGGAUUCCGUGACGCAGCUAACGCAUUAAGUUCCCCGCCUGGGGAGUACGGCCGCAAGGCUAAAACUGCAAAUGAAUUGACGGGGUCAUAGCUGUUUCCU